AGGGGGUGAUCUACGUCGCCGUGGGGAUGAAGAUCUGCGGUGUCGCUGUUGCACAGGAGAAGGUGAUCUACGUCGCAUGGGAGGUGGUGAUCUUCGUCGUAGAGGUGAUGGAGACCUACGGCGCACAGGCAAUGGGGAUUUACGACGUAUAGGUGAAGGAGAUCUGCGACGCACAGGGGAACGAGAUCCAUGGAGCAUAGGUGAGGGAGACCUACGACGCCGUACAAGAGAUGGUGAUCUGCGACGUCGAAUGGACAAUGGUGAUCUACGACGUGUAAUAGGUGAUGGUGAUCUAUAACGUCGGAUGGGUGAACGAGAUCUACGGUGCACAGGUGUAGGUGACCUGCGCCGAUAAGGAGAACGAGAUCUACGGCGCACAGGUGUAGGUGACCCGCGCCGAUAAGGAGAACGAGACUGAGAUCUACGCCUAGAGUAAGAUGGUCUUCGUCUUUCAGGAGACCUUCGCCUGUAAUAAGAUGGUCUUCGUCUUACAGGAGAGCGUGAGAAGGAAGGUGAAUGCCUGGAUCGAG
Molecule: long non-coding RNA, 530 nt
Filed under: Gossypium raimondii (Peruvian cotton)
Lineage: Eukaryota; Viridiplantae; Streptophyta; Magnoliopsida; Malvales; Malvaceae
Description: long non-coding RNA (GRAI_LNC011038)
Source: RNAcentral